Molecule: ribosomal RNA, 433 nt
Filed under: uncultured bacterium
Lineage: Bacteria
Description: partial 16S ribosomal RNA
Rfam family: Bacterial small subunit ribosomal RNA
Source: RNAcentral
AACGAACGCUGGCGGCAGGCCUAACACAUGCAAGUCGAGCGGACCUUCCGGGUUCAGCGGCGGACGCGUGAGUAACGCGUGGGAAUAUUGCCUUCUCCAUGGAAUAGUCUUUGGAAACUGGGGGUAACACCGGAUACCCUCCUGGAAGGGAAGAUUUAACGUGGUAGGAUGAGCCGGGGUUGUAUUAGGUAGUGGGUGGGGUAAUGGCCUACCAAGCCGUCGAUCCGUAGCUGGUUUGAGAGGAUGAUCAGCCACACUGGUACUGAGACACGGCCCAGACUGCUACGGAAUGCAGGAGUGGAGAAUCCUAGAAUAUGGGGCCAACCCUGAUAGAGCCAUGCCGGGUGAGUGAUGAAGGUGUUAGGGUUGUGAAGCUGUUUCAGCUGGGAAGAUAAUGACGGUACCAGCAGAAGAAGCCCCGGCUAACUUCGUG